GCUUGUCUCAAAGAUUAAGCCAUGCAUGUUCAAGUAUAGCAAGUGUACAGUGAAACUGCGAAUGGCUCAUUAAAUCAGUUAUAAUUUAUUUGAUAGUGAAAUUGUACAUGGAUAACCGUGGCAAUUCUAGGGCUAAUACAUGCGUCAAUGGUCGGUCGACCAGUAUUUAUUAGAUACAAUCGACGCCGUAAGGCUUUUGAUGAAUCAUAAUAACUGAACUAAGCGCAUGCUUUGGCGGCGCUGUUUCAUUCAAGUUUCUGCCCUAUCAGCUUUCGAUGGUAGGGUAUUGGCCUACCAUGGCGUUAACGGGUAACGGAGAAUUAGGGUUCGAUUCCGGAGAGGGAGCCUGAGAGAUGGCUACCACAUCCAAGGAAGGCAGCAGG
This 383-nucleotide ribosomal RNA is filed under the name uncultured Bicosoecida. Its description in RNAcentral is "partial small subunit ribosomal RNA". It matches the Rfam family "Eukaryotic small subunit ribosomal RNA", at positions 30 to 432 of the family's 1831-position model. Lineage: Eukaryota; Bigyra; Bicosoecida. The record is from RNAcentral.